This 249-nucleotide ribosomal RNA is filed under the name uncultured bacterium. RNAcentral describes it as "partial 16S ribosomal RNA". It matches the Rfam family "Bacterial small subunit ribosomal RNA", at positions 57 to 305 of the family's 1533-position model. The record is from RNAcentral.
GCAAGUCGACUGGAAUUUCUCUUCGGAGAUUAGUACGGUGGCGGACGGGUGAGUAACGCGUAAAGAACUUUCCCUCUAUACUGGGACAACUAUUGGAAACGAUAGCUACUACCGGAUAUUAUGAGAUCCUCGCAUGGGGAACUCAUGAAAGGCUAUAUGCGCUAGAGGAGAGCUUUGCGUGCCAUUAGGUAGUUGGUAGGGUAAUGGCCUACCAAGCCGACGAUGGCUAGCCGGCCUGAGAGGGUGAGC